CACAUAAUCAACCAGUCGUCUUUAUCUAUGCUGUCGAAUUCGGCCAUAAGGCUUCGUCCCAGCUUCUUUUUUUUUUUUUAAGUUGAGAAAAAGGAAAGACGCUGCAACAGGUUUUGGUCGUUUUCAUAUGGAAUCACCCUCUUGGUUAAAAGGGGCUGGAUGUUAAAUUGACAAAUUUUUAUUGGAUGUAUCUAUCUGAAAAGAUACGACGUCAGUAUUUCAAAGAAAGAAAUGUCUUCCCGUCGUGGGAAGAGAAAGUAGAAGGAGAAGAAAGGGGAUUGCGAGGCAGAGAGAGACGAGUAGGGAAGAGGAAUAGUCGGGAAUAGUUUCCCAAUUUGGGGGCUUGUGGCUCGUUACGAUGUGGCGCGUAACAGUAUUGUCACGUAGCUAUGGUAUACAGGUCACAGUAUGGUAACCUAUCCUAACCAAACCUAUAACCUAUCCUAACAUUUUCACCUUGCGGCUUGCGCGCGCUCGCGCAUUCUAGUAGGACCAUAAAUGUAAAAUGUUACCUCCUGAAUCCUUGCCUGUGAGUCUGUUUGGAAUGGAACCUAUGUUCCGUUUGGUGUUGGGCUCUGUCUCUCUUACAGUAUUAUUAUUACUUGCACUUUUUUAAGAAUGUUUGUCAUCUCAUCAUUUUAAUUGUAAUCAGUUAAUUAAUUUUUAAUGGAUAAGAUAAGAAAAACCCCAUUUUUUGGUAA
Long non-coding RNA from Daphnia pulicaria, 701 nucleotides. RefSeq lists it as uncharacterized. The transcript has 3 exons. Lineage: Eukaryota; Metazoa; Arthropoda; Branchiopoda; Diplostraca; Daphniidae. The record is from RefSeq and is a predicted model, not a curated record.